This 454-nucleotide ribosomal RNA is filed under the name uncultured Desulfobacterium sp. Its description in RNAcentral is "bacterial SSU rRNA". It matches the Rfam family "Bacterial small subunit ribosomal RNA", at positions 929 to 1382 of the family's 1533-position model. The record is from RNAcentral. Lineage: Bacteria; Pseudomonadati; Thermodesulfobacteriota; Desulfobacteria; Desulfobacterales; Desulfobacteriaceae.
GCGGUGGAGCAUGUGGUUUAAUUCGACGCAACGCGAAGAACCUUACCUGGGCUUGACAUCUGCGGUAAUUCUAUGAAAGUAGGAAGUGCCCUUCGGGGAGCCGCAAGACAGGUGCUGCAUGGCUGUCGUCGGCUCGUGUCGUGAGAUGUUGGGUUAAGUCCCGCAACGAGCGCAACCCUUAUCUUUAGUUACCAUCAUUCAGUUGGGGACUCUAAAGAUACUGCCCCGGUCAACGGGGAGGAAGGUGGGGAUGACGUCAAGUCCUCAUGGCCCUUAUGUCCAGGGCUACACACGUGCUACAAUGGGCAGUACAAAGGGUAGCAAGCCUGCGAAGGUGAGCCGAUCUCAAAAAGCUGUUCGUAGUUCGGAUUGGAGUCUGCAACUCGACUCCAUGAAGCUGGAAUCGCUAGUAAUCGCGGAUCAGCAUGCCGCGGUGAAUACGUUCCCGGGCCUU